This 253-nucleotide ribosomal RNA is filed under the name uncultured bacterium. RNAcentral describes it as "partial 16S ribosomal RNA". It matches the Rfam family "Bacterial small subunit ribosomal RNA", at positions 524 to 776 of the family's 1533-position model. The record is from RNAcentral.
GACAGAGGUCCCGAGCGUUAGGCGGAAUCACUGGGCUUAAAGCGUGUGUAGGCGGACUUCUAAGUACCUUGUGAAAUCCCACGGCUCAACCGUGGAACUGCUUGGUAUACUGGUUGUCUUGGGCCAUCUAGGGGCGAGCGGAACAAACGGUGGAGCGGUGAAAUGCGUAGAUAUCGUCUGGAACGCCAAUGGUGAAAACAGCUCGCUGGGGAUGUGCCGACGCUGAGACACGAAAGCCAGGGGAGCGAACGGG